AUGGCCUGGACUCCUCUCUUUCUGUUCCUCCUCACUUGCUGCCCAGGGUCCAAUUCCCAGGCUGUGGUGACUCAGGAGCCCUCACUGACUGUGUCCCCAGGAGGGACAGUCACUCUCACCUGUGGCUCCAGCACUGGAGCUGUCACCAGUGGUCAUUAUCCCUACUGGUUCCAGCAGAAGCCUGGCCAAGCCCCCAGGACACUGAUUUAUGAUACAAGCAACAAACACUCCUGGACACCUGCCCGGUUCUCAGGCUCCCUCCUUGGGGGCAAAGCUGCCCUGACCCUUUUGGGUGCGCAGCCUGAGGAUGAGGCUGAGUAUUACUGCUUGCUCUCCUAUAGUGGUGCUCGG
Molecule: non-coding RNA, 351 nt
Organism: Homo sapiens (human)
Lineage: Eukaryota; Metazoa; Chordata; Mammalia; Primates; Hominidae
Source: the annotation of a RefSeq genome assembly